Molecule: ribosomal RNA, 408 nt
Filed under: Verrucomicrobiota bacterium
Lineage: Bacteria; Pseudomonadati; Verrucomicrobiota
Description: Verrucomicrobia bacterium partial 16S ribosomal RNA
Rfam family: Bacterial small subunit ribosomal RNA
Source: RNAcentral
UGGGGAAUAUUGCACAAUGGGCGGAAGCCUGAUGCAGCGACGCCGCGUGAGGGAUGACGGCCUUCGGGUUGUAAACCUCUUUCAGUAGGGACGAAGCGUAAGUGACGGUACCUGCAGAAGAAGCACCGGCUAACUACGUGCCAGCAGCCGCGGUAAUACGUAGGGUGCGAGCGUUGUCCGGAAUUACUGGGCGUAAAGGGUACGUAGGCGGAUAAGCAAGUUAGAAGUGAAAUCCUAUAGCUCAACUAUAGUAAGCUUUUAAAACUGCUCAUCUUGAGGUAUGGAAGGGAAAGUGGAAUUCCUAGUGUAGCGGUGAAAUGCGCAGAUAUUAGGAGGAAUACCGGUGGCGAAGGCGACUUUCUGGUCAUCAUCUGACGCUGAGGUACGAAAGCGUGGGUAGCAAACAGG